Molecule: long non-coding RNA, 777 nt
Filed under: Helianthus annuus (common sunflower)
Lineage: Eukaryota; Viridiplantae; Streptophyta; Magnoliopsida; Asterales; Asteraceae
Description: sRNA HanXRQr2_Chr11g0483721
Source: RNAcentral
UUGUUUCUGGUAUACUGCAUAUCAAAUGUAAAAUGUUAACUACCCAAAUUGUCUGAGCCUCCCAAAUUGCAUUUUAUUUUAAUCCAACUAACUCCUUAGUCCUCUGGUAAUAAAAUGUUAACUAUUAAGCUUAAAAAUUAUUACUAAAACAAAUGUUAUAUUCUCGCUUCACUGUAACAGUUUUGAGAGAUGGCUUAUAGACUAAAUUGAAUCCCAACAAAUCACAAAGUUAUUCUCCUACUCUUUGCAUCAUCAGGUAGGGAUGGUGCUGAUUGAUUGUUACAAGUGACUAUAGGUUAGGGGUGCUAAACAGGUCGGGUUCGCGGGUUGACGGGUACAACCUGACCCGAACCCGAAAAUUUUAUAUGAACCCGAACCCGAAAAUCUUUAUGAGAAAUUAUGACCUGAACAACACGAAGCAAGCGAAUCAUGGCUUUAAGAUCUUGUGUGUCAACUAAUGGAGCUCCAUCAGUUUCAACAGGCUUACUUCCAAUUGACCUACGACUAAUGAAUCUUUUCUGAGAAAUUGACUCCAUCAGUUUCUUGCGGGUAAACUACAUAAUUACCUGGCAUCGUGAGGAUCUCUUUUCUUGCGGCAGCUUGAAGCCGUUUUAUUGUUUCCGCAUACUCCGUUACGUACCCUUCUGCUUCGUUGUCGACAAAAGGUGACAAAUGCGGUGGUAGAAUCCUAGGUAACACAUAACGUUUAGCAUCUAAAACUAUUAAAUAAUGGUUUUUUAUUCAAACACUUAGUUUCAUGUGAUAGUAGGUGUGGUG